AUUGAACGUUGGCGGCAGGCUUAACACAUGCAAGUCGAGCGGGGGAAGGUAGCUUGCUACCGGACCUAGCGGCGGACGGGUGAGUAAUGCUUAGGAAUCUGCCUAUUAGUGGGGGACAACAUCUCGAAAGGGAUGCUAAUACCGCAUACGUCCUACGGUCGCAAGCAGGGGAUCUUCGUACCUUGCGCUAAUCGAUGAGCCUAAGUCGGAUUAGCUAGUUGGUGGGGUAAAGGCCUACCCAGGCGACGAUCUGUAGCGGGUCUGAGAGGAUGAUCCGCCACACUGGGACUGAGACACGGCCCAGACUCCUACGGGAGGCAGCAGUGGGGAAUAUUGGACAAUGGGGGGAACCCUGAUCCAGCCAUGCCGCGUGUGUGAAGAAGGCCUUAUGGUUGUAAAGCACUUUAAGCGAGGAGGAGGCUACUUUAGUUAAUACCUGGAGAUAGUGGACGUUACUCGCAGAAUAAGCACCGGCUAACUCUGUGCCAGCCGCCGCAGUAA
RNAcentral lists this ribosomal RNA (501 nucleotides) under uncultured bacterium. RNAcentral describes it as "partial 16S ribosomal RNA". It matches the Rfam family "Bacterial small subunit ribosomal RNA", at positions 30 to 523 of the family's 1533-position model. The record is from RNAcentral.